RNA transcript from Brassica oleracea var. oleracea, 480 nucleotides. It is a transcript of the gene named putative cytochrome c oxidase subunit 5C-4, with no coding region annotated. The transcript is spliced from 4 exons. NCBI's taxonomy places the organism in Eukaryota, Viridiplantae, Streptophyta, Magnoliopsida, Brassicales, Brassicaceae. The record is from RefSeq and is a predicted model, not a curated record.
GUCUCAUGGAGUCUUGAAGCUUCUCUGUUUUUCUCUGCUCAGAAUCUUUCAACCUCUGGUUUCUAAGGAGAUAUAAAAAUGGCGAAUGUUCCAAAGAUAGGAAAGGCUGUGUACCAGGGACCAAGCAUAGUCAAAGAGAUAAUAUAUGGAAUAGCACUAGGACUUGCGGCUGGAGGGUUGUGGAAGAUGCAUCAUUGGAACAACCAAAGACGAACGAGGGAGUUUUACGAUUUGCUAGAGAAGGGAGAGAUCAGUGUUGUCGUUACAGAUGAGUAGCAUUCGGACCGCAUAUAUUUUUCUUAUAAGAGUUCAAGAUCAAGAACCAAAAGGAAUGCGUUGUGUGUGUGUGUUUUAUUGUUCUUUCAAUAAAUGUUGUGAAACAAUGGAAACUUUAGAUCGAUGUUUUGAAAUGCGAAAGAAAUCGCUAUGGGGAUUGAGCUAGAGUGGAUACUACAAUUUCUUCUAUGAUCAGUCUCAUAA